UAUGUGGGUGAACUUCAGGGAGGUCCAUGAAUUCCCUGAAAAUUCAUGCAGUUUUGUGUCUAAUAUACAUUUUUCUGAGGAGAGGGUUUGUGACUCAUCAAACUCUCAAAAGGUGUCAGCGACCAAAAUGAUUAAAAUAUCAUUUCUGCCUUUCUUAGGAAGAAAUAAGGAAGAAAGCAAAGAAGGCAUCUAAAGGUUGUUCUGGACCCCAGUUUUAAAUUGGCCUGCAGAAAAGAACCAGACCUUCAAGAAUUGGUCAAGAAUUUUCAUUUUGAAGACUUUACAGGUAACUUCAUCAGGUUCAUACUUACAUGGAAAUAAGUCUGCAGUAUUGCAUCUUAAGAAUCCGGAGUUGUUUGCAGCCUAUCUGAAGGUCCUCGAGCAUUUGGUCAGUAAGCAGGACACAACCAGAAAUAUCCAAAAUGUGCAGAACUGAGGGAAGGACCUGGGCUGUUGGAUCACUUGAUGCCAUCAGGAUGACUCCAGAGCCAGCAUCCAUGAAUCCAGAAGCAAUGUUCCAGACUUGCAGUUUCCAGUCUGUCCUGAGAGUUUGGAACUUAUCGCUUCUAUCCUCAAAAGAAGAAAAAAGACAAAAGACUGAAGCUGGAAGAAGUAAUUAAAACCAGAUCCUAAGUCAGUACAUCUGAGACUCCAGACACUUAAUCUGCAUGUGCUGCGGUUUCCAGUUAAACACUAAAAUGAGGUAAUUUUUUAUUCUGAUUAUGUUCAUGCCUCUUGCAAAACCUAACCAGGGUAAAAAUGUUUAUCUCAUUUUUUUCAUUAAAUCAUGAUGUUGAAUGUAA
This is a long non-coding RNA of Herpailurus yagouaroundi (jaguarundi), 803 nucleotides long. RefSeq lists it as uncharacterized. The transcript has 6 exons. Lineage: Eukaryota; Metazoa; Chordata; Mammalia; Carnivora; Felidae. The record is from RefSeq and is a predicted model, not a curated record.